AAAACCGAAACCCGAAUGGAUAAAACCGAAACCCGAUUGGGACCCCGAAUGCCUAUGCUUAGGUAAAAUCCAAAUGUGGGUUUCUUAUUUCUUUUUUUUAAUUUUUUUUAUCUUUUUUUGUUUGAAUGAAAAAAAUUAAAAGCUGCCAUGUAUUAGUGGAACCCGCGAACAGUGCAAGAAACCAUCAAAUAGCGGUUUUUGUUAUGGCUAUUCUUCAACCGGUUUUUGUUUUUUUGUGGCCCCCUCUCCCCCUGAUAAUCCUGCCCUUAAGUUUGGCCUUACCUUACAUGUGGGUCAGCCUAGUAAUUUAAAGACAUUUGACUUCUCAUUCAGCACACAAAGAGACUUUGAAUCCUAAAUUGGACAGUGGAAAAGUCGUCCUCGGAAAACGCAUAUAAAUACUUUUUCUUUAUAAUGUAUAUCAAUACCAUAUGUGCUCUCAUAUCAUAAUCCAUAACAAUAGCAGAGCAUCAAUGGCGUUUCACAGUGAAAAGUCCAUCUUAGUGAAGAUCAUUGUCUUCUCUCUGCUACUUCUUCUUCCCCUAUCACAAAGCAACGCUGCUCGUGUUCCUUCGACCCCCAGAGUUCCCAUCGCCCCAGGCGACCGAUUUGCCCGGCUUGUGUGUGUUGCGAGCCAGCGCCAAUAGGAAGUGCUGCAGAUGUUGUGCAUCUCCUAUCGUCACUCAGACUCAUCACCACUCUCAAUCUCCAUGAAAAACAUAAAACAAUAAAGCCCGACUAAUGAUGAAUCAUAAAUAAAGUCCUUUGUAGUCCAUGUUUCUGCUUCCAUGUCCUAAUAAAAUAAGGGAAGUUUACUAGAAUGUUACAUAUUUUAGGUGUAUUGACUAGAAUGAUACAGAUCUUUUUUUUAUUA
This is a long non-coding RNA of Brassica napus (rape), 874 nucleotides long. RefSeq lists it as uncharacterized. The record is from RefSeq and is a predicted model, not a curated record. Lineage: Eukaryota; Viridiplantae; Streptophyta; Magnoliopsida; Brassicales; Brassicaceae. The transcript has 2 exons.